RNAcentral lists this ribosomal RNA (443 nucleotides) under uncultured archaeon. RNAcentral describes it as "bacterial SSU rRNA". It matches the Rfam family "Archaeal small subunit ribosomal RNA", at positions 15 to 463 of the family's 1478-position model. The record is from RNAcentral.
CGCCGGACCUGACUGCUAUCGGAUUGAUACUAAGCCAUGCGAGUCAUUGUAGCAAUACAAGGCAUACGGCUCAGUAACGCGUAGUCAACCUAACCUAUGGACGGGAAUAACCUCGGGAAACUGAGAAUAAUGCCCGAUAGAACAUUAUGCCUGGAAUGGUUUAUGUUCCAAAUGAUUUAUCGCCGUAGGAUGGGACUGCGGCCUAUCAGUUUGUUGGUGAGGUAAUGGCCCACCAAGACUAUUACAGGUACGGGCUCUGAGAGGAGUAGCCCGGAGAUGGGUACUGAGACACGGACCCAGGCCCUAUGGGGCGCAGCAGGCGAGAAAACUUUGCAAUGUGCGAAAGCACGACAAGGUUAAUCCGAGUGGUUUCUGCUAAAGAAACCUUUUGUCAGUCCUAGAAACACUGAUGAAUAAGGGGUGGGCAAGUUCUGGUGUCAGCC